Molecule: non-coding RNA, 2990 nt
Organism: Paramuricea clavata
Lineage: Eukaryota; Metazoa; Cnidaria; Anthozoa; Malacalcyonacea; Plexauridae
Source: the annotation of a GenBank genome assembly
CAAACACGACGUAAACUUCAUCCCCGCAAGAUGCCAUUCUUUAAUUUAAGGUGGCUUAAAAUUCUUUCUUAGAUACUGUAGCAUGACAAGAUCAGUUUUGAAAGACUACAAGUUCCGAUAUUACUCCCACAUGAAAUGUCUUUGUUCAGAUUAACGUGUAUAUUAUUAUAUUCUAUAUUUUUUUACUUCGAGUGAUUGUCUUUGUGCUACAACUUACAGGUAACCGAAGCAACAACAUUUACAGCAAAAUUGUAAGAGCCGUAAACACAUACUAAAGAUUCAGAAAGGAACACUAUAAUGGUAGGAAGCCAAAUAUCGCAUAAUAUUAUGUAGUAUAUAAUUAUUUUGUUUCAGCAAUUCCUGUUCAUAUAUUUCAACACGUACGUGUUCCUUCCUGUUCCUUAAUUAAUUGUUGCAAGUAGAAUAUAUAAAUAUGGAAAUUUGGUAAUUAACUUAUUAAGUGCAUAUUUGAGUCGAAGUUACGUUACCCACAGCGAUAUGCAGAUACUGAGAUAAUAAUAGCCAUGUUUUCUCCAAUGGUUCACGCUCACACGAGACGGUAUGAAUCGCGGAUUUCGUCUUCACACGCUGACACGCGGGACGCACGAAAGUAACCGGACGAAUUCCCAUGUGAACAAAUAAGGAGUCUACGAGUCAACGGAGAAAAGAUGCCCAUCCUACGUCACAUCCGUUCCAGGUUUUAAGUAAAUUCACCUUAUAAUUCAUACUACGUGCUAUCCAAUGUUUGGUCAGUGGUGGAUAAAGACCAUUUCAUAGGAACAGCAACCGCGGCAAUGCAAUUGCCACAAAGUUUUCGCCACAUUUGCCAUUUAUUCAUCCGACACCCGAUCCCAAUGUGUUACUGCUAUUCUCGCAUGUCGUCAUAUCGGCUCAAUUUCUCAAGGCAUUUUGUACGACUUUUAGCCAUAUGCUAAUUGUAUUUAAUUGAGUGCUCUUUGGCGCGAGCAUUAAUAAUCUUAAUAAGUUUUUAGACGUUCUCUGGUUUUUAAAUAUUUAUUAUUACGAGCUUUUACUUUUUUAAUUACAUAUAUUUACUUUUUUAAUUACAUAUAGAUACAAAAUGACAGAAAUAUGACAGUUCCGCCUACAUAUAAGAUUAAUGACUUAAAUUACAUGUAGAUAGAUUCAGAGUUUUUUGCUAAGGGACCGGUCAUAAAGUAACUACUAGGGUGGGCUGGAGUGAUUUGGGAUGGGCCAUGGAAAAUCUUUGGGCAGUUUCGAUGGGCCGCCAAUCUUUUUGUAUGUCCACGGUUGGGCCACGAAACAAAAACCCAUGCAUGUCUACUUCAAAAACUAAGAUACCAAUAAUAAAAGUAAACAAAACUAUCCAAAUUAUCAAAUGCAAAUGAUGCUAUUGAAGCCAGUACUUUGUAAAUACAACGACAAGAAGUGGUCGAAUCACAACAAGUACAACCAACUGGAGAGCAUCUCUGCAGUAUGUCAAUACAGUGCCGUGGAUAUUUACAAUGUUCAUGCCUGCAAGUUUUUAUUAUUAUAAAAGUGUAUUUUCCCAAUUUAGAUUUAGUGGGUCAAAUUCAUAUGAUUGAUAAUAUACGUUAACAUUCAAUCAUUCUUGGGUAAAUUUGUUUUGGCCGUCGUCGUCGCUUUGCCGUCCUACAUUUUAAGGUCUCUAAUGUGUGUGUGUGUGUGAGGGGGGAUAAUAACGAAUAUCAACGAACUGUAUUGGAAUGAAACACUGGCUCUCAAAACUUAAACUCUUGAAAAGGACCGAAACCGCCGAUCCCAAGAAAAUACCAAAAUCGUGGGGCGCGACAGAGCGGCAGCGCUACGCCGACGUUCGUACCGGUUUUGAAGCGCUAUUUUCGAGUUGAAUCCCUCUCAAUCCGAAGCUUCCUUUCAGAAACGUGUUCAUGCUUAUUUUAAGAUUUUUUAAAAUAAUUUCCGGUGAGCCCGCAAUUUGCUGACCACUAGCACAGGCAGAAUUCAUCCCACCUGUUGAUAUAAAGUACUGAAGAGUUGAGACUUCUAAGAACUGGGCUUACCCUGAUCUUGGUUACCACAGGGGUUGGUUAUCACAUUUUCCAAAAUGCGCAGUUCUGAAUGUUAGAUGGGUAGUUGUAAAACCUAGAAUGGCCAGUCCUAAAAUUGAAUUUUGGAACUUUAUAAGAGAAUUAUAUGGAGAUAAAUUGAGCAUUCAUACAGAGAUUUCAGGCAAAAACAAACCAAAUUUCACUCUCAAACAUCAGGAAAUAACCAUUCUGGACUUCUAAAAUUCAAAAACGUUUCCGGGGAGUAUGCUUUCGGAUCCACACAGCUAUUCAGGCAUGCAAUACAUCAUGAGCUCAGCCUCAUAACUCCCUCACAGUCUGUUCUCCUUGUUGAAAUUGGCAGUUAGGAUGACGCCUGGGUUAGCAAGACGUCCAGUUAGUAGAUGUACUUAUGAUGUAUUGAAAUUAUUGUGUAAAAAUUUCUCAAAAGUACCAAAAUUGUUGUACAAUCAAAUAAGUGUUUGACUACAUUGUAAUCGAGUAUCAUCAUGUUUGCACUUAAUUGUAAUGCAUAUAAUUAAAAUAAGCACAAUUCCAGCAUUGAGUCCCAAUACGUGUCUCGAAUUCAGUAUCCCUUUUUGUAACACUCCAUCAGAAUAUGAAUGUGCCUCUGGGGGAUGUUUCAGACGUGAUAAACAUAAUUAUUUCGAAUUUAAUAAUAUAACGACGCACUUAUUUCGCCGAACUUAAUUUAUCAACAUGACACUAGGACUACAAUGACUAUUGCAGUUAUUAUUCUUAAUUAAGUUUGCCCACUGUCGCCGAUAGAGACGGAACUCGUGGUACCAUCACAUAUUAAAUGAUUACUGAAUUCCUUAGCCAACCUACACUAAAUAAGCGAAGCAGAAAGGGGAUGGUCGCAGGAGAAACAAGAGGAUGAUUCGCAUCGGGAAAAGACUUCGAACCGGUUCUGGACGCGGAUGGAACAUGAAACGUAACAAGCAGCGAGAAAAGCAAAAC